ACGGAAGGCAGCAGUGAGGAAUAUUGCACAAUGGGGGAAACCCUGAUGCAGCAACGCCACGUGUGGGAAGAAGCAUUUCGGUGUGUAAACCACUGUCGUGAGGGAAUAAUGCUUGGUUUCGGCCAAGUUGAAUGUACCUCGAAAGGAAGCACCGGCAAACUUCGUGCCGGCAGCCGCGGUAAUACGAGGGGUGCAAGCGUUGUUCGGAAUCACUGGGCGUAAAGGGAGCGCAGGCGGAGAUGCAAGCAGUCUGUACAAUACCGGGGCCCAACCCCGGACCUGCAGACUGGACUGUUUCUCUUGGAUAGUUCAGGGGCAAGCGGAAUUCCUGGUGUAGCGGUGGAAUGCGUAGAGAUCAGGAAGAACACCGAUGGCGAAGGCAGCUUGCUGGGGACUUAUCGACGCUCAUGCUCGAAAGUGCGGGUAGCAAACAGGAUUAGAUACCCUGGUA
This 451-nucleotide ribosomal RNA is filed under the name uncultured Fibrobacter sp. RNAcentral describes it as "partial 16S ribosomal RNA". It matches the Rfam family "Bacterial small subunit ribosomal RNA", at positions 341 to 792 of the family's 1533-position model. Lineage: Bacteria; Pseudomonadati; Fibrobacterota; Fibrobacteria; Fibrobacterales; Fibrobacteraceae. The record is from RNAcentral.